Molecule: ribosomal RNA, 274 nt
Filed under: uncultured bacterium
Lineage: Bacteria
Description: partial 16S ribosomal RNA
Rfam family: Bacterial small subunit ribosomal RNA
Source: RNAcentral
AGACGGAGGGCGCAAGCGUUGUUCGGAAUCACUGGGCAUAAAGAGUACGUAGGCGGUCUGCUAAGUCAGAUGUGAAAGCCCUGGGCUUAACCCGGGAACUGCAUUUGAUACUGGCAAACUUGAGGACAGCAGGGGUGAGUGGAACUUCAGGUGGAACGGUGAAAUGUGUAGAUAUCUGAAGGAACACCGGUGGCGAAAGCGGCUCACUGGGCUGUCUCUGACGCUGAGGUACGAAAGCUAGGGUAGCGAACGGAAUUAGAAACCCUAGUAGUCC